RNAcentral lists this ribosomal RNA (499 nucleotides) under uncultured bacterium. Its description in RNAcentral is "partial 16S ribosomal RNA". It matches the Rfam family "Bacterial small subunit ribosomal RNA", at positions 30 to 522 of the family's 1533-position model. The record is from RNAcentral.
AUUGAACGCUGGCGGCAUGCUUUACACAUGCAAGUCGAACGGUAACAGGGAGCUUGCUCCGCUGACGAGUGGCGAACGGGUGAGUAAUAUAUCGGAACGUGCCCAAAAGUGGGGGAUAACGUAGCGAAAGUUACGCUAAUACCGCAUACGAUCCAAGGAUGAAAGCAGGGGACCUUCGGGCCUUGUGCUCCUGGAGCGGCCGAUAUCUGAUUAGCUAGUUGGUGAGGUAAAGGCUCACCAAGGCGACGAUCAGUAGCUGGUCUGAGAGGACGACCAGCCACACUGGAACUGAGACACGGUCCAGACUCCUACGGGAGGCAGCAGUGGGGAAUUUUGGACAAUGGGGGCAACCCUGAUCCAGCAAUGCCGCGUGAGUGAAGAAGGCCUUCGGGUUGUAAAGCUCUUUUGUCUGGGAAGAAAAGGGUACGGCUAAUAUCCGUGCCUCAUGACGGUACCUGAAGAAUAAGCACCGGCUAACUACGUGCCAGCCGCCGCGUAA